GGAGAAGAAUUCUCUGUCAAUGGGCUGGUACAGCACCCAGUAUAAGGGACUGCUGGGUCUUCUGGGCAGCACUCUAAUCAAAUGUAUUAUUUGCAAAAUACUCAGCUCUUUCAGCACCAAAAGGUGCUAUAUGAAGCGUAACAUCUUCAAUCAACAUGGAAAUCUUGCAUCCCAAAUGAACCGCAAGUCUCACAUAAAAACACACAAUUCUAGAACUUUUGUUUUAUCCAGAGCAGAGAUUUAUUCACUGAAAAGAAUCCUAAAUAUUCAGAAUUUCAUUAGCGUAGAGUGCACUUUUUUUUUUUGCCGGUUGCAUAAACUAAUACAGAACCUUUUGUUAAUACUAACAAGUUUAAUUAAAUUAAUAGCAAUUCUGGAAGACAAACUCAGUUGAUAGAAAAUAUAAAAAAAAAUUUUACUGUACAAAGUUUACAUCACAUUUGAAAAGAAAAUAUGUCAAUUUCCACCAUAUUACAGACUCCAUUUACAUACGCUACUGAAGUCCUUGCUAGUGUAGCAGUACUGUACAGCAAGCUUCACAUUUACAAGGCUAAAAU
Molecule: non-coding RNA, 557 nt
Organism: Pelodiscus sinensis (Chinese soft-shelled turtle)
Lineage: Eukaryota; Metazoa; Chordata; Testudines; Trionychidae
Source: RefSeq, a predicted model, not a curated record